UGAAUGAUCCUUCGGGUGAAAUUAGAACUGGAAAGUGGCGAACGGGUGAGUAACGCGUGGGUAACCUGCCCUAUGGAAAGGAAUAGCCUCGGGAAACUGGGAGUAAAGCCUUAUAUUAUGGUUUUGUCGCAUGGCAAGAUCAUGAAAACUCCGGUGCCAUAGGAUGGACCCGCGUCCCAUUAGCUAGUUGGUGAGAUAACAGCCCACCAAGGCGACGAUGGGUAACCGGUCUGAGAGGGCGAACGGUCACACUGGAACUGAGACACGGUCCAGACUCCUACGGGAGGCAGCAGUGGGGAAUAUUGCGCAAUGGGGGCAACCCUGACGCAGCAAUACCGCGUGAGUGAAGAAGGUUUUCGGAUCGUAAAGCUCUGUUAUUGGGGAAGAAAACAUGACGGUACCCAAUGAGGAAGUCCCGGCUAACUACGUGCCAGCAGCCGCGGUAAUACGUAGGGGACAAGCGUUGUCCGGAAUGACUGGGCGUAAAGGGCGCGUAGGCGGUCUAUUAAGUCUGAUGUGAAAGGUACCGGCUCAACCGGUGAAGUGCAUUGGAAACUGGUAGACUUGAGUAUUGGAGAGGCAAGUGGAAUUCCUAGUGUAGCGGUGAAAUGCGUAGAUAUUAGGAGGAACACCAGUGGCGAAGGCGGCUUGCUGGACAAAUACUGACGCUGA
Molecule: ribosomal RNA, 672 nt
Filed under: uncultured Clostridium sp.
Lineage: Bacteria; Bacillati; Bacillota; Clostridia; Eubacteriales; Clostridiaceae
Description: bacterial SSU rRNA
Rfam family: Bacterial small subunit ribosomal RNA
Source: RNAcentral